RNAcentral lists this ribosomal RNA (425 nucleotides) under uncultured bacterium. Its description in RNAcentral is "bacterial SSU rRNA". It matches the Rfam family "Bacterial small subunit ribosomal RNA", at positions 354 to 796 of the family's 1533-position model. The record is from RNAcentral.
GUGGGGAAUAUUGGACAAUGGGCGCAAGCCUGAUCCAGCCAUGCCGCGUGAGUGAUGACGGCCUUAGGGUUGUAAAGCUCUUUCGCCAGGGACGAUAAUGACGGUACCUGGAUAAGAAGCCCCGGCUAACUUCGUGCCAGCAGCCGCGGUAAUACGAAGGGGGCUAGCGUUGUUCGGAUUUACUGGGCGUAAAGCGCACGUAGGCGGAUCUUUAAGUCAGGGGUGAAAUCCCGAGGCUCAACCUCGGAACUGCCUUUGAUACUGGAGAUCUUGAGUUCGGGAGAGGUGAGUGGAACUGCGAGUGUAGAGGUGAAAUUCGUAGAUAUUCGCAAGAACACCAGUGGCGAAGGCGGCUCACUGGCCCGAUACUGACGCUGAGGUGCGAAAGCGUGGGGAGCAAACAGGAUUAGAUACCCCAGUAGUCC